Molecule: ribosomal RNA, 990 nt
Filed under: Salmonella enterica
Lineage: Bacteria; Pseudomonadati; Pseudomonadota; Gammaproteobacteria; Enterobacterales; Enterobacteriaceae
Description: partial 23S ribosomal RNA
Rfam family: Bacterial large subunit ribosomal RNA
Source: RNAcentral
AGACCCGAAACCCGGUGAUCUAGCCAUGGGCAGGUUGAAGGUUGGGUAACACUAACUGGAGGACCGAACCGACUAAUGUUGAAAAAUUAGCGGAUGACCUGUGGCUGGGGGUGAAAGGCCAAUCAAACCGGGAGAUAGCUGGUUCUCCCCGAAAGCUAUUUAGGUAGCGCCUCGUGAAUUCAUCUCCGGGGGUAGAGCACUGUUUCGGCUAGGGGGUCAUCCCGACUUACCAACCCGAUGCAAACUGCGAAUACCGGAGAAUGUUAUCACGGGAGACACACGGCGGGUGCUAACGUCCGUCGUGAAGAGGGAAACAACCCAGACCGCCAGCUAAGGUCCCAAAGUCAUGGUUAAGUGGGAAACGAUGUGGGAAGGCCCAGACAGCCAGGAUGUUGGCUUAGAAGCAGCCAUCAUUUAAAGAAAGCGUAAUAGCUCACUGGUCGAGUCGGCCUGCGCGGAAGAUGUAACGGGGCUAAACCAUGCACCGAAGCUGCGGCAGCGACGCUUAUGCGUUGUUGGGUAGGGGAGCGUUCUGUAAGCCUGUGAAGGUGGCCUGUGAGGGUUGCUGGAGGUAUCAGAAGUGCGAAUGCUGACAUAAGUAACGAUAAAGCGGGUGAAAAGCCCGCUCGCCGGAAGACCAAGGGUUCCUGUCCAACGUUAAUCGGGGCAGGGUGAGUCGACCCCUAAGGCGAGGCCGAAAGGCGUAGUCGAUGGGAAACGGGUUAAUAUUCCCGUACUUGGUGUUACUGCGAAGGGGGGACGGAGAAGGCUAUGUUGGCCGGGCGACGGUUGUCCCGGUUUAAGCGUGUAGGUGUGUGUUCCAGGUAAAUCCGGUUCACUUUAACACUGAGGCGUGAUGACGAGGCACUACGGUGCUGAAGCAACAAAUGCCCUGCUUCCAGGAAAAGCCUCUAAGCAUCAGGUAACAUCAAAUCGUACCCCAAACCGACACAGGUGGUCAGGUAGAGAAUACCAAGGCGCUUGAGAGAA